Molecule: ribosomal RNA, 230 nt
Filed under: uncultured bacterium
Lineage: Bacteria
Description: partial 16S ribosomal RNA
Rfam family: Bacterial small subunit ribosomal RNA
Source: RNAcentral
AAAGCGCGCGUAGGCGGUUUGAUAAGCUAGCUGUGAAAGCCCUGGGCUCAACCUGGGAACUGCAGUUAGAACUGUCUGACUAGAGUACAGUAGAGGGUGGCGGAAUUUCCUGUGUAGCGGUGAAAUGCGUAGAUAUAGGAAGGAACAUCAGUGGCGAAGGCGGCCACCUGGACUGAUACUGACGCUGAGGUGCGAAAGCGUGGGGAGCAAACAGGAUUAGAUACCCCUGU